GCUCACUGAAAAUUAAAGAGCCGCGGUAUUUUGACCGUGCAAAGGUAGCAUAAUCAUUAGUAUAUUAAUUGUGUACUGGAAUGAAAGGUUUGACGAGAGAUAUGCUGUCUCUAUUUUAUUUAUAUAAUUUUACUUUCUAGUCAAAAGGCUGGAAUUUUUUUUUAGGACGAUAAGACCCUAUAGAGUUUGAUUUUAUUUAUUUUAUUAUUUUGGGUUAAUUUUUAUUAAUUAAUUUUAUUAUGAAUUUUGUUGGGGUGAUGUGAAUAAUAGAUAAACUAUUCAUUUUUUUUUCAUUGAUUUAUGUUUUUUAUGAUCUUGUAUUAUUGAUAUUAAGAUAAAAUUACCUUAGGGAUAACAGCGCAAUUAUCUUUGAGAGUUCUUAUUGACAAGAUAGAUUGUGACCUCGAUGUUGGAUUAAGGUUAUUUUUAGGUGGAGGUGCUUAAUUGAAUUGGUCUGUUCGACCAUUAAAACCUU
RNAcentral lists this ribosomal RNA (475 nucleotides) under Euparatettix bimaculatus. Its description in RNAcentral is "partial 16S ribosomal RNA". It matches the Rfam family "Bacterial large subunit ribosomal RNA", at positions 1861 to 2597 of the family's 2925-position model. Lineage: Eukaryota; Metazoa; Arthropoda; Insecta; Orthoptera; Tetrigidae. The record is from RNAcentral.